Molecule: long non-coding RNA, 906 nt
Filed under: Mus musculus (house mouse)
Lineage: Eukaryota; Metazoa; Chordata; Mammalia; Rodentia; Muridae
Description: RIKEN cDNA 2600014E21 gene
Source: RNAcentral
UAUACUCCUUGUGUGAGCCUUUAAGGCAGGUCUAGUGGCAGUGGGGCUGGCUCGGCGGAUCCCUGUCAGUCACUUUGCUCUCGUACUAAGUGUACUUUUGUGCCAUUUAAGCAGCCGAUGGUGUCAUUGGCGUUGAGAGUGCAGCUUCUACAGCUCACACUGAAGGCUUUGGGGACCCAGGAGGGCGCGAGUUGUUUUAAGAUACAUGGCCAUUUGACAUACCCGUGUUAAGUUCAAUCUUGCUACAAAAGAAGGCCAUUUGUACUUCCUGACCCUGAAAGCAAGGAUGCCAAAAUGACUCGAUGAUUUAUUUAUGCAGCGCUUGGCAGCCCAUCGUCCAGAUUGUGGCUGAAGCUGAAUUUUAUGAGCCUUCCCCCAGUCAAGAGGAACACACGUUGUGAAGCUCAGGUGAGAAGGGUUUAGAACAAAACUCAGGAGCUGAAGGCAUGAAGAUUCCGACAGCACGGGUCAAAAGCAGCUCUGCAGCUCAGCGUUGUGCUUGGAGCUGGUGCUGUAUUGUGGAACGAUGUUCAGGCUUACACUGUGUGAAACAAGGCUACCAUGGAAAGGAGGGCUUUAUCCAUGAACGACAGAAAGUGACCUCACAGGUCUGAGAGCCUGUCAUCCUGAUUGGUCCAGAAAAACUGGAAGAUUUUGCCAUCUUACAAGCCCUCUUCCUUAAGAAAGAGAAAGAUGAGCAGUAAAUAUCCUCUGGCACGUCGGCACAUUCUGUCUCUUCGUGUUUUCAUGAAGUGUUCAUGACAUGGGAUUGAAGUACUCCUUUGUGUUCAGUAUUUGAUAUCAAAUCCUUUACAAAAAAUAUUUUCAAAUUGUCAUAUGAAGACUCAACAAAAAGAAAAACAGAGAAGAAGGAGGAAAAGAAGAAGAAAGAAGAAUAAAAAGAAA